RNAcentral lists this long non-coding RNA (255 nucleotides) under Setaria viridis. Its description in RNAcentral is "long non-coding RNA (SVIR_LNC009111)". The record is from RNAcentral. Lineage: Eukaryota; Viridiplantae; Streptophyta; Magnoliopsida; Poales; Poaceae.
UGAGGGAGAGGAAGACUUAUCAAAGUCAGUAGUCUGCAUUGGAAUACCAUCAUCACAAUCUUCUCAGUCAGAUGAUGGAGCUUCAGGCUGCACUAGACCAUUUCUCAUCAAAGACUGCAGGCUCCUGACUUUCCUCUUCUUAGGGCGCACAGAUCUUUUCCUUUUAGCUUGUGCUUGUGCUUGUGCUUCUUGUGGUGUGUGUUGCUGUGAUUCUUGUGCACAUUGUUGUUCCAUUUCACUUGGCAAAGGCAUAAU